UGGGAAGAAACCAACAGGGAUUGCCUUAGUAACGGCGAGUGAAGCGGCAACAGCUCAAAUUUGAAAGCUGGCUCCUUCGGAGUCCGCGUUGUAAUUUGUAGAGGAUGAUUCGGCGAGGGCUCCCGCCUAAGUCCCCUGGAACGGGGCGUCAUAGAGGGUGAGAAUCCCGUAUGCGGUGGGUUGCCUUAGCCAUGUGAAUCUCCUUCGACGAGUCGAGUUGUUUGGGAAUGCAGCUCUAAAUGGGAGGUAAAUUUCUUCUAAAGCUAAAUACCGGCCAGAGACCGAUAGCGCACAAGUAGAGUGAUCGAAAGAUGAAAAGCACUUUGGAAAGAGAGUUAAAAAGUACGUGAAAUUGUUGAAAGGGAAGCGCUUGCAGCCAGACUUGUCCGCAGUUGCUCAACCGGUCUCCUGACCGGUGUACUCUUCUGCGGCCAGGCCAGCAUCAGUUCGGGCGGUCGGAUAAAGGCCCUGGGAAUGUAGCUCCUCUCGGGGAGUGUUAUAGCCCAGGGUGGAAUGCGGCCAGCCUGGACUGAGGAUCUCGCUUCGGCUAGGAUGCUGGCGUAAUGGCUGUAAGCGGCCCGUCUUGAAACACGGACCAAGGAGUCUAACAUCUAUGCGAGUGUUUGGGUGUCAAACCCAUGCGCGUAAUGAAAGUGAACGGAGGUGGGAACCCUCACGGGUGCACCAUCGACCGAUCCUGAUGUCUUCGGAUGGAUUUGAGUAAGAGCAUAGCUGUUGGGACCCGAAAGAUGGUGAACUAUGCCUGAAUAGGGUGAAGCCAGAGGAAACUCUGGUGGAGGCUCGCAGCGGUUCUGACGUGCAAAUCGAUCGUCAAAUUUGGGUAUAGGGGCGAAA
Molecule: ribosomal RNA, 855 nt
Filed under: Macrophomina phaseolina
Lineage: Eukaryota; Fungi; Ascomycota; Dothideomycetes; Botryosphaeriales; Botryosphaeriaceae
Description: eukaryotic LSU rRNA
Rfam family: Eukaryotic large subunit ribosomal RNA
Source: RNAcentral